ACUUAAUUUGAAUUAAUUUGAAUUAAUUUUAUUUAAAUUGAUUUAAUUAUAUUUAAUAGUGUUUCCUAAUAAAAUCAUAAUUUGAUUUAAUUUGAUAUAAUAGUGUUUCCUAAUAAAAUUUUUGUUAAUUGUAUAUAUAAUUAUAUUUAAUUGGUAUAAUUUGUUAAUUGGUAUAAUUUGAUUUAAUUUGAUUUAAUAGUGUUUCCUAAUAAAAUAUUUAUUCUAU
Molecule: long non-coding RNA, 226 nt
Filed under: Ananas comosus (pineapple)
Lineage: Eukaryota; Viridiplantae; Streptophyta; Magnoliopsida; Poales; Bromeliaceae
Description: long non-coding RNA (ACOM_LNC022742)
Source: RNAcentral